RNAcentral lists this ribosomal RNA (46 nucleotides) under Mallocybe sabulosa. RNAcentral describes it as "partial large subunit ribosomal RNA". Lineage: Eukaryota; Fungi; Basidiomycota; Agaricomycetes; Agaricales; Inocybaceae. The record is from RNAcentral.
UUGAUCUCAAAUCAGGUAGGAGUACCCGCUGAACUUAAGCAUAUCU